CCUACGGGUGGCAGCAGUAGGGAAUGUUGCGCAAUGGGCGAAAGCCUGACGCAGCAACGCCGCGUGAUAGAGACGACCUUCGGGGUGUAAAGAUCUGUCAGUGGGGACGAAACUUGACGGUACCCACAGAGGAAGCACCGGCUAACUCCGUGCCAGCAGCCGCGGUAAUACGGGGGGUGCAAGCGUUGUCCGGAAUCAUUGGGCGUAAAGAGGUCGUAGGCGGCACGUAAAGUCUGGUGUUAAAGGCAGAGGCUCAACUUCUGUACGGCACUGGAAACCUGCGAGCGAGAGGGCGGUAGAGGUAAGGGGAAUGCCUGGUGUAGCGGGGAAAUGCUGAGAGAUCAGGAGGAACAUCGGGGGCGUAGGCGCUUUACUGGGCCGUAAUUGACGCUGAGGAACGAAAGCCAGGGUAGCAAAUGGGAUUAGAUACCCUUGUAGUC
This 440-nucleotide ribosomal RNA is filed under the name uncultured bacterium. RNAcentral describes it as "partial 16S ribosomal RNA". It matches the Rfam family "Bacterial small subunit ribosomal RNA", at positions 338 to 795 of the family's 1533-position model. The record is from RNAcentral.